RNAcentral lists this small RNA (30 nucleotides) under Bombyx mori (domestic silkworm). RNAcentral describes it as "ovarian small RNA-775". Lineage: Eukaryota; Metazoa; Arthropoda; Insecta; Lepidoptera; Bombycidae. The record is from RNAcentral.
UUUACGGUAACCACUUACCAUCAGGUAUGC